AACGAAAGCAAACAAAAACAAACGAAAUCAAACAAAAACAAACAAAGGAAAAGCAUAUAUAAAGAAAUAAAUAAAAACUGAAAACAAGAAUAAUUAAAAGAAAAAAUUGAGACAAAUUAAAAACAAAAAGUUUAAAGUGAUAAAAUUAUAAAUAUUCAUAUUUUAUUUUUUUUUUUUUUAAAUCAUUUCUCUUAUUCAUACUAAAUAAAAAUGCAUAUAUAUAUAUGUGCAUGUGUAAGUACAUAUAUACACGUGGUAUAAUAAAAAUUUAUUCAAGUGUUGUAUGUUUGUUAUAAAUCGAAGAUAAAUUUUUGUUUUGCUUCUUUGCAUUUUGUUUUGCGUCCUUGCAUUUUGUUUCUUUUUUUUUUUUUUUUUUUUUUUUUUAUGUUUUUUUUUUUUUUUUUUUUUUUUUUUUUUUUUUUUUUAACUUUCUUGGACAAAUAAUAAUCAAACAAUAAAAUUUUUUAUUUUGAAAUUUUUUUUUAAUUA
Molecule: long non-coding RNA, 489 nt
Filed under: Piliocolobus tephrosceles (Ugandan red Colobus)
Lineage: Eukaryota; Metazoa; Chordata; Mammalia; Primates; Cercopithecidae
Description: lncRNA (ENSPTEG00000001970.1)
Source: RNAcentral